This 492-nucleotide ribosomal RNA is filed under the name uncultured bacterium. RNAcentral describes it as "partial 16S ribosomal RNA". It matches the Rfam family "Bacterial small subunit ribosomal RNA", at positions 29 to 507 of the family's 1533-position model. The record is from RNAcentral.
AGUGAACGCUGGCGGUAGGCCUAACACAUGCAAGUCGAACGGCAGCACAGUAAGAGCUUGCUCUUACGGGUGGCGAGUGGCGGACGGGUGAGGAAUACAUCGGAAUCUACUUUUUCGUGGGGGAUAACGUAGGGAAACUUACGCUAAUACCGCAUACGACCUACGGGUGAAAGCAGGGGAUCUUCGGACCUUGCGCGAUUGAAUGAGCCGAUGUCGGAUUAGCUAGUUGGCGGGGUAAAGGCCCACCAAGGCGACGAUCCGUAGCUGGUCUGAGAGGAUGGUCAGCCACACUGGAACUGAGACACGGUCCAGACUCCUACGGGAGGCAGCAGUGGGGAAUAUUGGACAAUGGGCGCAAGCAUGAUCCAGCCAUACCGCGUGGGUGAAGAAGGCCUUCGGGUUGUAAAGCCCUUUUGUUGGGAAAGAAAAGCAGCAGGUUAAUACCCCGCUGUUCUGACGGUACCCAAAGAAUAAGCACCGGCUAACUUCGUG